GGUAGUGUGGCCGAGAGUAGGCAGUGGGCUGUAGAUCCACGCACAGGGACCCAACCCUCAUUACCA
RNAcentral lists this transfer RNA (66 nucleotides) under Pachydactylus scutatus (large-scaled gecko). RNAcentral describes it as "tRNA-Tyr". The record is from RNAcentral. Lineage: Eukaryota; Metazoa; Chordata; Lepidosauria; Squamata; Gekkonidae.